UGUAGUCUUUGCGCUCGUGAACGAGGAAGUCUGGGGGCUGUAGGCCGACUGUGUGACAUUGUGACAGGGACCCUUGGGCGUGGUAACGACCCUAAGCCAGGGGUAACGGGGUUCCUGCAUGGGGUUCUCGCGGGCCUGACUUAACAAGCAGCAUAGAGCGGCCCCUGAUACUAAUACACAUAUACUGAUAUAGUACCAUACAUAUACUGAUACACUGCACUUCAUGCCGGUGCCGCUGCACUUCUGUUCCUCUCCCCCACUUUGCUCUCUCGCGCUUGCUACUUCUCUUUGUAACACAAAUUUAUGCUAGCUCAAAUGUCAGUAGAACAAGAGCUGGCGGCAGACGCUGCUUGGCUGGCUUGGGACGCGAGUCCUCACGCUGCUGACUGCUCGUUGACCGGCUUGGCAACGCUGCUCACACGUCAGCUGCAGCCAGCUAUUACUUGAGAGAAACGACUAUGCCUCAUAAUCUAUCAGCUGCGCUUCAAAUGUCCGACCGAGAAGUCUCGGCGGUCGCCGGCGUCAACAACGCCAUUCAACAUCGUGUUCUGUCAACAUCACCCUCGCCCCGCACGCCAGAGUCCGCAGGUUAGUCUGCAGGUUAGUCCGCAGGUUGAAUGACGAUGGGAUGCGUUGAACCUAGUGGUACCUCGCAAGCCAGUGUGCAUGGUUCAUCUUCUCGCGCUGUGUUGGGUUGUUUGGUGGAGCCCCCGCCUACAACUAGUGACUGUCUGCUGCCUCCCUUACCAGCGCUCGCUGUAAGGUGUUUUUAUGGCUCCCUUGCCACGGUGCCUUGUGUCUCACAUACCACCCCGCCCCCCUCCGCACGCACACACCCUGCCCCGCGACAGCUUGCUGCCCAACCCCUGUUGUACCCUAUGGACCGUAUGGUUGGCUGGACUGCCCCUACACCUCCAGCAUUGUGCUCAUCAACGGUGAGUGUCCGUGACACGUGUGGGCGCGCACACAUGCACAUGUGCACACAGACACGCCUUGUGUGGUAGGCCCCGUGCACUGCCAAGCACUCUGUCCAUGGCUGGCCUUGACAUGCAUUGGCACCUACCCGUCUUGUGGCAGACGAUUAACUGGGUGUGUCUAUGUGUGUGCACGCAUGCAUGCAGUCGCUGCCGGUGGAAGCAAAACUACAGGAGCCAGCGUGACACCAGCUGUCUGGCGCUAGAGAUGGAGGCGGGCGCGGCGGCGCCAGUGGCAUAGUUUGGCAUGGUAGCUGUGGUGGCGGCGGGCGUCAAGGUGGUGGGUCAGAGACGUUGUGCCCAGCAGACAUGCAAGUGGUUGCUGCCAGUGGCUAGUUGCACGUUCACAUGCAGACAUGACUAGGCGUAUUGUUGCAUGUACAUAUGGACUUGCGGUAGUGUUGCAUAAGUGUUGCAUGAGCAUCUGCACUUGUCGUGCUAUCAAGCCUUGACAGAUGGCUAGCAUGUGGAGUAGCGGUAGGACUACAUAGUUCUUACGUUAGUACUGAGGUAGGCCUUCAGCAAAGCACAAGGCUGCCAUGUAACGGGCGUCAAAGUGAUGGUUACUGGUGUGCCUUGUAGACCGUGACAAGGCUGUUACCAUGGCUGGUUAAGAUGGUAAGCAGAUCGUAGUGAGAUCGUAACGAUGCCGGAGGGGUAACGAUCUACGACCUAGGUAACAGCGAUCGUAACGAUCGUUUGGGUGCCAUAGGGCAUAUCACCUGCAUACACAGCACCACCGGCGUUGCAAGAGGCAUGGUGACAAGCCUUUCCCCGAGAUACAUGCUGUAUCUCACAUGCUGUAUACAUGCCCUGUCCGUUGAGCUGCCCACUGCACACAUGUCUUGGUGCUCCUUUUCAUGUGGAUUGCAUCACGAAAUCUGACUUACCACCAAAAUGCAAAAGCGCCAUUGCCAGCAGCACAUGCACCGAUGAGACGAAGGUUGACAUGAGAAUAAGGCGGCCGGGGAAUUGCAAGCAGAUAUUUGCAUGCAUAAGCAAUUGCAAACUAUUAGGACCCCGUGCGAAAGCGCAGGCAGGGCAGACGAAUGGUUGUUGACCGCGACAGGAAAACACUGCUGUAGACGUUUUGAGCUGAUACAAUGCGAGUUCUCAGUCAGAAACUUACAUUCUUGGGCCUUGAGCCUGUUUGGCCUUGAAUUUUGUGCAGGUCGGCGAAGGUCAGCGACAAAGGCCUCCACUUUGACCAAGUUUGUAGCACCUCCGCCAACCCCUCAGGCAUGCUCGCAAGCUUGUGUCUAACAUAGUUGCUAUGAAAUAGCAUCGUGCAGUAUCAUAGAGGGUUUGAGAACGUGGAACACUGCAUGCCGAUAUCGCUUGCAACAGAGAUAGGCUGUAACAGGCUAGCGAUACAUUUAACAACUUGUUAGUAUUAAAU
RNAcentral lists this long non-coding RNA (2373 nucleotides) under Chlamydomonas reinhardtii. Its description in RNAcentral is "long non-coding RNA (CREI_LNC000444)". Lineage: Eukaryota; Viridiplantae; Chlorophyta; Chlorophyceae; Chlamydomonadales; Chlamydomonadaceae. The record is from RNAcentral.